This 397-nucleotide ribosomal RNA is filed under the name uncultured soil bacterium. Its description in RNAcentral is "bacterial SSU rRNA". It matches the Rfam family "Bacterial small subunit ribosomal RNA", at positions 26 to 451 of the family's 1533-position model. The record is from RNAcentral.
AGAACGAACGCUGGCGGCAUGCCUAAUACAUGCAAGUCGAACGAACACUUCGGUGUUAGUGGCGCACGGGUGCGUAACGCGUGGGAAUCUGCCCUUGGGUUCGGAAUAACAGUUGGAAACGACUGCUAAUACCGGAUGAUAUCGAAAGAUCAAAGAUUUAUCGCCCAGGGAUGAGCCCGCGUAGGAUUAGCUAGUUGGUGAGGUAAAGGCUCACCAAGGCGACGAUCCUUAGCUGGUCUGAGAGGAUGAUCAGCCACACUGGGACUGAGACACGGCCCAGACUCCUACGGGAGGCAGCAGUAGGGAAUAUUGGACAAUGGGCGCAAGCCUGAUCCAGCAAUGCCGCGUGACGUGAUGAAGGCCUUAGGGUAGUAAGCUCUUUUACCCGAGAUGAUAA